This 433-nucleotide ribosomal RNA is filed under the name uncultured bacterium. RNAcentral describes it as "partial 16S ribosomal RNA". It matches the Rfam family "Bacterial small subunit ribosomal RNA", at positions 29 to 507 of the family's 1533-position model. The record is from RNAcentral.
AACGAACGCUGGCGGCAUGCCUAACACAUGCAAGUCGAACGAAGGCUUCGGCCUUAGUGGCGCACGGGUGCGUAACGCGUGGGAAUCUGCCCUUUGGUUCGGAAUAACAGCUGGAAACGGCUGCUAAUACCGGAUGAUGACGAAAGUCCAAAGAUUUAUCGCCAGAGGAUGAGCCCGCGUUGGAUUAGGUAGUUGGUGAGGUAAAGGCCUACCAAGCCGACGAUCCAUAGCUGGUCUGAGAGGAUGAUCAGCCACACUGGGACUGAGACACGGCCCAGACUCCUACGGGAGGCAGCAGUGGGGAAUAUUGGACAAUGGGCGCAAGCCUGAUCCAGCAAUGCCGCGUGAGUGAUGAAGGCCCUAGGGUUGUAAAGCUCUUUUACCCGGGAAGAUAAUGACUGUACCGGGAGAAUAAGCCCCGGCUAACUCCGUG